CUGAGCCUCUCGGACUCGGGGAGGGCUCCGGGCAGCUGUGCCAAGCAAGCAUGGGUUUGCCGAUGAGGCAGCUGAGUCCACGCAUCCACAGACUUAAUGCAAGUCCUAACUCCCAGCCCCGCAGAACGCAACCUUAUUUGGAGAUAGGGUCUUUGCAGAGGGCAAUGCAUCUACGGGCCAGGGAACAUCGAAGAUGCCAGCCAACCACCAUGAGCCGGGGGAGAAGCCGGGCCCUGAUUCUCCCCCACAGCCCUCAGGAGGAAGUAACCUUGCUGACGCCCUGAUCUUGGACUUCCAGACCUCACAGCUGGGAGACAAUACAUUUCUUCGUUGAAGCCACUCAGUUUGUGCUGCUUUGUUACGGCAACCCUAGCAAGCGAAUGAUCGUUUUACAAAUGAGCGAAACCAAGAUUAUGAAGUGACUUUCCCAAGGUUACCUGGGCACAGUGGACCUCUUGGGUGCUUAUUUUCUCUGCCGUUUUUAAAUGUGGAUAUCCGCCUCUGUCCCCCACCUCCCCACCCCCAAUCCUGUGCCCUCGGCUCUCUGGGUGUUCAUCCAUCCAUACGUCUUUGAGGCAGACAAUGUUGUGAGCACAGGGGCCCGGCAGGAGAACAAACAAUAGACACAGGCCCCGCC
RNAcentral lists this long non-coding RNA (637 nucleotides) under Felis catus (domestic cat). Its description in RNAcentral is "lncRNA (ENSFCAG00000053113.1)". The record is from RNAcentral. Lineage: Eukaryota; Metazoa; Chordata; Mammalia; Carnivora; Felidae.